Non-coding RNA from Brassica napus (rape), 74 nucleotides. The record is from Rfam. NCBI's taxonomy places the organism in Eukaryota, Viridiplantae, Streptophyta, Magnoliopsida, Brassicales, Brassicaceae.
UCCAAUGAUGGCAUGAAAUCUUUGAGACCUGAUUUUUAUUGAUGAAACGCUGUAAGCAUUUUUACUCUGAGGAU